AGAGUUUGAUCCUGGCUCAGGACGAACGCUGGCGGCGCGCUUAACACAUGCAAGUCGAGCGAGAACCAGGCCUUCGGGUCUGGGGAAAGCGGCGAACGGGUGAGUAACACGUGAGUAACCUGCCCUCGGCACCGGGAUAGCCCGGGGAAACCCGGAUUAAUACCGGAUAGCCAUUCGAGCUCUCGAGCGCGAAUGAAAAGGUAGCUUCGGCCUCUGGCCGAGGAUGGGCUCGCGGCGGAUUAGCUUGUUGGUGGGGUAAUGGCUCACCAAGGCGACGAUCCGUAGCUGGUCUGAGAGGACGAUCAGCCACACUGGGACUGAGACACGGCCCAGACUCCUACGGGAGGCAGCAGUGGGGAAUCUUGCGCAAUGGGCGAAAGCCUGACGCAGCGACGCCGCGUGCGGGAAGAAGGCCUUCGGGUUGUAAACCGCUUUCAGGAGGGACGAAGCCCCUCGGGUGAAUAGCCCAGAGGGUGACGGUACCUCCAGAAGAAGCCCCGGCUAACUACGUGCCAGCAGCGGCGGUAAUAC
Molecule: ribosomal RNA, 531 nt
Filed under: uncultured bacterium
Lineage: Bacteria
Description: bacterial SSU rRNA
Rfam family: Bacterial small subunit ribosomal RNA
Source: RNAcentral